Agelaius phoeniceus (red-winged blackbird) is the source of this 1900-nucleotide non-coding RNA. The record is from RefSeq and is a predicted model, not a curated record. NCBI's taxonomy places the organism in Eukaryota, Metazoa, Chordata, Aves, Passeriformes, Icteridae.
CAAAAGAGAAAAAAAAUCUCCAACCUGCUAAAUGGUACUUACUGAGAAAGAGGUUUCUCUUUUCCAGAGAGAAGGAGGCAUUGAACUUUUAAAUUCUACUUGCAGGGUUACAAUUUUAUAGGGGGAAAAAAAGGAUCAGAAAAAUCCCAUUUUUUACAAAAGUUAAUUUCUCUCAAAUUUGGACCAAUUGAGUUCUAUCACGUUGUGUUUCUCCUCAGAGAGAAUGCAAUGACUGGCAUAGGAAGACUCUGAGAACAAAUUUUUUGAUGGACAUUUUCUGUCACCCUUUACCAUCACAGCAUACAUUUUCCUGUCACAUAAUAUACGGUAAUUAUAUGGAUUUUCCUCUUUCCAAAUCAGAGGAAUGCUUCCUUACUUGAAUGGAGGGGCCACAGACUACUAGUCAACCUAAAAAUCCUGUUAGCAUUACAUCUCAGCAUAAAUAAAGAAUUUGGAUCAGUGCCUUGUUAGAUCACCGCUAUUUCUAGCUCGCUGAGUAAAAAGAGCAUUUUUUGCAGCCUAGUUUGAUAAGUAAAAGGUGUCUUUCUCACCUGCGUGCACUCUGAAUUGUCACUCUCAUUCUUUGUUCCUUUGCAUGCGGUUGUUGUCAGCUCCCGAGUCACAGAACCACUUGCAGGAACGGCUCAGGAGAGUUUCGGAAGAAAGGGAAGGGAAAAAAGGAGCCGCAUUUUUAUUUAACGGGAGAAGGAGAACAUAAAGAAAAGAAAGGUGUUCUCAAGAACGUAGCCUGCAGCCUUGUCAGGUGGUGGUACAUUCCAGACUACCCUCUGAUAUUGGUAACUGCUUGUCCCAGGAUUCAUGUCCCUAGAAGGAACAGCUGCAAGAAGAAAGCAAGAUGCACAGUUCCACAAUGGGAAAAGAAAUGUUUUCAAUAAAGGCUUUGGAAAAGUCAUCACACACUUGUGUUGGAGCAGAAAAUAAGCUCUUUCCAGAAUUCCUCCACCUCUGGCGUUUAAAGUAACCACUUGAUGCUGACAAUCCAGACAACUCCCAUAUCUUCUGCCUUGUACAGCACCAAAACCACCAGAACUAGUGCCUGACAAAGAAGACAACUGACUCCUCGCUAGUGAGGGAAAUGUUUCUCUUGCUUUAGUGUAUAAAGGAGGAAGGGAAUGUAGCAUGUAACUCCUUGGAGGGAAACACAGCAAUGGACGGUGUUAUCUGUGAGAAAUCCUGACUUCCCAAUUUCCAGUGUACUGUGAAUAUUCAGAGAAAACAUUUUAAUUUCUGCCUGUUAUCCUAAGUGAUUUUCACUGAUAUAACUUCUGCAUGUGAAAUGUCAUUGCAGCAGUAUUAAGUUAUAAUUAGAAUAAUUAAAACUUCUAGUAAUUUGAAAAUCAACAUUUUCAUGGUUAACCAAAGGUGAUGAUAUCUAUUACCUCUAUAGUAAACAAAGUGUCUUAUAAUGUAAAGUGCAAAAAUGAAGGACAGAAUGUGAACUUUUAACUUAUACAGCAGAGUGGUUCCUCUUACAUGAGUAACUCCAACAAGGAAACAAAAAUACUGGUACAGUGGCAACACUUGAUAAGAUAAAAGAUGUUAUUAUCAAGAUCUCUCUGUAGUACUCUUCCACUGUAAGAUGCAAAAUUAAAAGAAGACAAAUGAAGUUCUUUCUCUAAUAUUGUCAUCAUAUAGUGACAAUGUACUGAUCUGCCUUUUAGUUUUUCCCCCUUCAUUUCUCUGGAAUAGCCCUUCUCUGUAGAAUAACUGUCUCCUUUACAUACCUAUUAAUUCAUUGAUCCUAAAACUAUCUGAUACAGGGAUGAUAUGGCAGCAAAGCUCGUCACACUUUUUCUUUUCUGCUUGCUUCAUCUCUUCACAUUUGCAGCUAACAGGCUUGCUCUGUAUAAAAAGAAUAAACACAGUAAUUGGUUUGCCA